UACGUAGGGUGCAAGCAUUAAUCGGAAUUAUUGGGCGUAAAGGGCGUGUAGGCGGAUUUGUAAGUCAGAUGUGAAAUUUCGGGGCUCAACCUCGAAGCUGCAUUUGAAACUGUGAAUCUGGAGGGUUGACGGAGAAAACGGAAUUCCACGUGUAGCGGUGAAAUGCGUAGAUAUGUGGAAGAACACCAGUGGCGAAAGCGGUUUUCUAGUUAACACCUGACGCUGAGGCGCGAGAGCAAGGGGAGCAAACAGG
This 253-nucleotide ribosomal RNA is filed under the name uncultured bacterium. RNAcentral describes it as "partial 16S ribosomal RNA". It matches the Rfam family "Bacterial small subunit ribosomal RNA", at positions 524 to 776 of the family's 1533-position model. The record is from RNAcentral.